This 812-nucleotide ribosomal RNA is filed under the name Escherichia coli. Its description in RNAcentral is "partial 23S ribosomal RNA". It matches the Rfam family "Bacterial large subunit ribosomal RNA", at positions 418 to 1230 of the family's 2925-position model. The record is from RNAcentral. RNAcentral also lists the same sequence under 1 other name. Lineage: Bacteria; Pseudomonadati; Pseudomonadota; Gammaproteobacteria; Enterobacterales; Enterobacteriaceae.
CGGGACACGUGGUAUCCUGUCUGAAUAUGGGGGGACCAUCCUCCAAGGCUAAAUACUCCUGACUGACCGAUAGUGAACCAGUACCGUGAGGGAAAGGCGAAAAGAACCCCGGCGAGGGGAGUGAAAAAGAACCUGAAACCGUGUACGUACAAGCAGUGGGAGCCUCUUUUAUGGGGUGACUGCGUACCUUUUGUAUAAUGGGUCAGCGACUUAUAUUCUGUAGCAAGGUUAACCGAAUAGGGGAGCCGAAGGGAAACCGAGUCUUAACUGGGCGUUAAGUUGCAGGGUAUAGACCCGAAACCCGGUGAUCUAGCCAUGGGCAGGUUGAAGGUUGGGUAACACUAACUGGAGGACCGAACCGACUAAUGUUGAAAAAUUAGCGGAUGACUUGUGGCUGGGGGUGAAAGGCCAAUCAAACCGGGAGAUAGCUGGUUCUCCCCGAAAGCUAUUUAGGUAGCGCCUCGUGAAUUCAUCUCCGGGGGUAGAGCACUGUUUCGGCAAGGGGGUCAUCCCGACUUACCAACCCGAUGCAAACUGCGAAUACCGGAGAAUGUUAUCACGGGAGACACACGGCGGGUGCUAACGUCCGUCGUGAAGAGGGAAACAACCCAGACCGCCAGCUAAGGUCCCAAAGUCAUGGUUAAGUGGGAAACGAUGUGGGAAGGCCCAGACAGCCAGGAUGUUGGCUUAGAAGCAGCCAUCAUUUAAAGAAAGCGUAAUAGCUCACUGGUCGAGUCGGCCUGCGCGGAAGAUGUAACGGGGCUAAACCAUGCACCGAAGCUGCGGCAGCGACGCUUAUGCGUUGUUGGGUA